This 297-nucleotide ribosomal RNA is filed under the name Salmonella enterica. Its description in RNAcentral is "partial 16S ribosomal RNA". It matches the Rfam family "Bacterial small subunit ribosomal RNA", at positions 1 to 294 of the family's 1533-position model. The record is from RNAcentral. Lineage: Bacteria; Pseudomonadati; Pseudomonadota; Gammaproteobacteria; Enterobacterales; Enterobacteriaceae.
AAAUUGAAGAGUUUGAUCAUGGCUCAGAUUGAACGCUGGCGGCAGGCCUAACACAUGCAAGUCGAACGGUAACAGGAAGCAGCUUGCUGCUUUGCUGACGAGUGGCGGACGGGUGAGUAAUGUCUGGGAAACUGCCUGAUGGAGGGGGAUAACUACUGGAAACGGUGGCUAAUACCGCAUAACGUCGCAAGACCAAAGAGGGGGACCUUCGGGCCUCUUGCCAUCAGAUGUGCCCAGAUGGGAUUAGCUAGUUGGUGAGGUAACGGCUCACCAAGGCGACGAUCCCUAGCUGGUCUG